Molecule: ribosomal RNA, 2237 nt
Filed under: Salmonella enterica
Lineage: Bacteria; Pseudomonadati; Pseudomonadota; Gammaproteobacteria; Enterobacterales; Enterobacteriaceae
Also listed under: 1 other name
Description: partial 23S ribosomal RNA
Rfam family: Bacterial large subunit ribosomal RNA
Source: RNAcentral
GGUUUACCUGUGUGACUGCGUACCUUUUGUAUAAUGGGUCAGCGACUUAUAUUCUGUAGCAAGGUUAACCGAAUAGGGGAGCCGGAGGGAAACCGAGUCUUAAUUGGGCGUUAAGUUGCAGGGUAUAGACCCGAAACCCGGUGAUCUAGCCAUGGGCAGGUUGAAGGUUGGGUAACACUAACUGGAGGACCGAACCGACUAAUGUUGAAAAAUUAGCGGAUGACCUGUGGCUGGGGGUGAAAGGCCAAUCAAACCGGGAGAUAGCUGGUUCUCCCCGAAAGCUAUUUAGGUAGCGCCUCGUGAAUUCAUCUCCGGGGGUAGAGCACUGUUUCGGCUAGGGGGCCAUCCCGGCUUACCAACCCGAUGCAAACUGCGAAUACCGGAGAAUGUUAUCACGGGAGACACACGGCGGGUGCUAACGUCCGUCGUGAAGAGGGAAACAACCCAGACCGCCAGCUAAGGUCCCAAAGUCAUGGUUAAGUGGGAAACGAUGUGGGAAGGCCCAGACAGCCAGGAUGUUGGCUUAGAAGCAGCCAUCAUUUAAAGAAAGCGUAAUAGCUCACUGGUCGAGUCGGCCUGCGCGGAAGAUGUAACGGGGCUAAACCAUGCACCGAAGCUGCGGCAGCGACACUGUGUGUUGUUGGGUAGGGGAGCGUUCUGUAAGCCUGCGAAGGUGGCCUGUGAGGGUUGCUGGAGGUAUCAGAAGUGCGAAUGCUGACAUAAGUAACGAUAAAGCGGGUGAAAAGCCCGCUCGCCGGAAGACCAAGGGUUCCUGUCCAACGUUAAUCGGGGCAGGGUGAGUCGACCCCUAAGGCGAGGCCGAAAGGCGUAGUCGAUGGGAAACGGGUUAAUAUUCCCGUACUUGGUGUUACUGCGAAGGGGGGACGGAGAAGGCUAUGUUGGCCGGGCGACGGUUGUCCCGGUUUAAGCGUGUAGGUGUGUGUUCCAGGUAAAUCCGGUUCACUUUAACACUGAGGCGUGACGACGAGGCACUACGGUGCUGAAGCAACAAAUGCCCUGCUUCCAGGAAAAGCCUCUAAGCAUCAGGUAACAUCAAAUCGUACCCCAAACCGACACAGGUGGUCAGGUAGAGAAUACCAAGGCGCUUGAGAGAACUCGGGUGAAGGAACUAGGCAAAAUGGUGCCGUAACUUCGGGAGAAGGCACGCUGACACGUAGGUGAAGUGAUUUACUCAUGGAGCUGAAGUCAGUCGAAGAUACCAGCUGGCUGCAACUGUUUAUUAAAAACACAGCACUGUGCAAACACGAAAGUGGACGUAUACGGUGUGACGCCUGCCCGGUGCCGGAAGGUUAAUUGAUGGGGUCAGCGCAAGCGAAGCUCCUGAUCGAAGCCCCGGUAAACGGCGGCCGUAACUAUAACGGUCCUAAGGUAGCGAAAUUCCUUGUCGGGUAAGUUCCGACCUGCACGAAUGGCGUAAUGAUGGCCAGGCUGUCUCCACCCGAGACUCAGUGAAAUUGAACUCGCUGUGAAGAUGCAGUGUACCCGCGGCAAGACGGAAAGACCCCGUGAACCUUUACUAUAGCUUGACACUGAACAUUGAGCCUUGAUGUGUAGGAUAGGUGGGAGGCUUUGAAGUGUGGACGCCAGUCUGCAUGGAGCCGACCUUGAAAUACCACCCUUUAAUGUUUGAUGUUCUAACGUGGACCCGUUACCCGGGUUGCGGACAGUGUCUGGUGGGUAGUUUGACUGGGGCGGUCUCCUCCUAAAGAGUAACGGAGGAGCACGAAGGUUGGCUAAUCCUGGUCGGACAUCAGGAGGUUAGUGCAAUGGCAUAAGCCAGCUUGACUGCGAGCGUGACGGCGCGAGCAGGUGCGAAAGCAGGUCAUAGUGAUCCGGUGGUUCUGAAUGGAAGGGCCAUCGCUCAACGGAUAAAAGGUACUCCGGGGAUAACAGGCUGAUACCGCCCAAGAGUUCAUAUCGACGGCGGUGUUUGGCACCUCGAUGUCGGCUCAUCACAUCCUGGGGCUGAAGUAGGUCCCAAGGGUAUGGCUGUUCGCCAUUUAAAGUGGUACGCGAGCUGGGUUUAGAACGUCGUGAGACAGUUCGGUCCCUAUCUGCCGUGGGCGCUGGAGAACUGAGGGGGGCUGCUCCUAGUACGAGAGGACCGGAGUGGACGCAUCACUGGUGUUCGGGUUGUCAUGCCAAUGGCACUGCCCGGUAGCUAAAUGCGGAAGAGAUAAGUGCUGAAAGCAUCUAAGCACGAAACUUGCCCCGAG